CCCACGUGCCAAUGAGGAUCGUGUUCUGGCUCACUGUUGGCGUCCUUGGAGAAGUCAGUGCUCUGAGCAGAAAGGAGGACACCGCUGGUGCCAGCAGACAGACUUCCAGAUUCUGAAAUGCAGAAGUGUUUUUAAUGCCUAAGAGUUGUGACUAGCAAGAAAAACCUCACCAAAACUCAUUGAACUGUUGCUGCUGUGUAAAGAUAACAGCAAGACUUGCUUCUUCUUUUCUUCACUGCCUGCUGCACUGGGAUAUUGGAAAGAAUCAUUCAUGGAAUUGCCCAUCUAAUGCUGCAGCUGUGCUGACUUCUGGCUGCUUCUUGGCUGCAGAAACCAGGCUGCUGGGCUGCUCCUUCCCUGGUGUCUGAGUUCUGAACCUCAAAGUGGCUGUGGAAAACCUUCCUGAGAAGCGAUGGCAUGAAGAGGAGGAGCUGCACAAGCACUCUCAGGUUGGGUUGCUGAUGCUAUCUGGCUGUUGAUAAUUGCUAGCGGAAACGGUUGGGCUGUCGUAAGCAAACUGCUGGUGUUCUGAGCUGUUAGAUGCAUCUCUGCUCUUGCUCUGAUGACUUUGAGUGAGGAGGGCAAUUAAGCCACAGGU
Molecule: long non-coding RNA, 598 nt
Filed under: Chrysolophus pictus (golden pheasant)
Lineage: Eukaryota; Metazoa; Chordata; Aves; Galliformes; Phasianidae
Description: lncRNA (ENSCPIG00010002715.1)
Source: RNAcentral